This 469-nucleotide ribosomal RNA is filed under the name uncultured bacterium. RNAcentral's name for it is "partial 16S ribosomal RNA". It matches the Rfam family "Bacterial small subunit ribosomal RNA", at positions 28 to 507 of the family's 1533-position model. The record is from RNAcentral.
GAUGAACGCUGGCGGCGUGCUUAACACAUGCAAGUCGAACGAUGAAGCUGGAGCUUGCUCUGGUGGAUUAGUGGCGAACGGGUGAGUAACACGUGAGCAACCUGCCCCUGACUCUGGGAUAACAGCCGGAAACGGCUGCUAAUACCGGAUAUGCACCAUGAACGCAUGUUCUGUGGUGGGAAAGAUUUUUCGGUUGGGGAUGGGCUCGCGGCCUAUCAGCUUGUUGGUGAGGUAAUGGCUCACCAAGGCGUCGACGGGUAGCCGGCCUGAGAGGGUGACCGGCCACCCUGGGACUGAGACACGGCCCAGACUCCUACGGGAGGCAGCAGUGGGGAAUAUUGCACAAUGGGCGAAAGCCUGAUGCAGCAACGCCGCGUGAGGGAUGACGGCCUUCGGGUUGUAAACCUCUUUUAGCAGGGAAGAAGCGAGAGUGACGGUACCUGCAGAAAAAGCGCCGGCUAACUACGUG